CGGCCGUUGGCCCUUUACACUCUUGUCUCCAUCUGGAAUUUCUUCUGAGUAUAAACAAACAAAUGAAUCAAAACUUUCAACAACGGAUCUCUUGGUUCUGGCAUCGAUGAAGAACGCAGCGAAAUGCGAUAAGUAAUGUGAAUUGCAGAAUUCAGUGAAUCAUCGAAUCUUUGAACGCACAUUGCGCCCGCUGGUAUUCCAGCGGGCAUGCCUGUUCGAGCGUCAUUUCAACCCUCAAGCCCAGCUUGGUGUUGGGACAUUGCCUUUCUUUCUUGUGUUUCUUCGGGAGCGCAUGAGGGCAAGUCCUUAAAUUGAGUGGCGAGCUCGCCAGGACUCCGAGCGUAGUAGUUUUACCACCUCGCUUUGGACGGACUGGCGGUGCCUUGGCCGU
This 391-nucleotide ribosomal RNA is filed under the name fungal sp. FLS-2010. Its description in RNAcentral is "eukaryotic LSU rRNA". The stretch from base 72 to 225 matches the Rfam family "5.8S ribosomal RNA". The record is from RNAcentral. Lineage: Eukaryota; Fungi.